Molecule: ribosomal RNA, 253 nt
Filed under: uncultured bacterium
Lineage: Bacteria
Description: partial 16S ribosomal RNA
Rfam family: Bacterial small subunit ribosomal RNA
Source: RNAcentral
UACGGGGGGGGCAAGCGUUGUUCGGAAUUACUGGGCGUAAAGGGCUCGUAGGCGGCCAACUAAGUCAGAUGUGAAAUCCCCAGGCUUAACCUGGGAACUGCAUCUGAUACUGGAUGGCUUGAAUCCGGGAGAGGGAUGCAGAAUUCCAGGUGUAGCGGUGAAAUGCGUAGAUAUCUGGAGGAAUACCGGUGGCGAAGGCGGCACCCUGGACCGGCAUUGACGCUGAGGAGCGAAAGCUAGGGGAGCAAACGGG